Molecule: ribosomal RNA, 1432 nt
Filed under: uncultured organism
Description: 16S ribosomal RNA
Rfam family: Bacterial small subunit ribosomal RNA
Source: RNAcentral
ACGCUGGCGGCGUGCUUAACACAUGCAAGUCGAACGGAAAGGCCCUGCUUUUGUGGGGUGCUCGAGUGGCGAACGGGUGAGUAACACGUGAGUAACCUGCCCUUGACUUUGGGAUAACUUCAGGAAACUGGGGCUAAUACCGGAUAGGAGCUCCUGCUGCAUGGUGGGGGUUGGAAAGUUUCGGCGGUUGGGGAUGGACUCGCGGCUUAUCAGCUUGUUGGUGGGGUAGUGGCUUACCAAGGCUUUGGCGGGUAGCCGGCCUGAGAGGGUGACCGGCCACAUUGGGACUGAGAUACGGCCCAGACUCCUACGGGAGGCAGCAGUGGGGAAUAUUGCACAAUGGGCGGAAGCCUGAUGCAGCAACGCCGCGUGCGGGAUGACGGCCUUCGGGUUGUAAACCGCUUUCGCCUGUGACGAAGCGUGAGUGACGGUAAGGGGUAAAGAAGCACCGGCUAACUACGUGCCAGCAGCCGCGGUGAUACGUAGGGUGCGAGCGUUGUCCGGAUUUAUUGGGCGUAAAGGGCUCGUAGGUGGUUGAUCGCGUCGGAAGUGUAAUCUUGGGGCUUAACCCUGAGCGUGCUUUCGAUACGGGUUGACUUGAGGAAGGUAGGGGAGAAUGGAAUUCCUGGUGGAGCGGUGGAAUGCGCAGAUAUCAGGAGGAACACCAGUGGCGAAGGCGGUUCUCUGGGCCUUUCCUGACGCUGAGGAGCGAAAGCGUGGGGAGCGAACAGGCUUAGAUACCCUGGUAGUCCACGCUGUAAACGGUGGGUACUAGGUGUGGGGUCCAUUCCACGGGUUCCGUGCCGUAGCUAACGCUUUAAGUACCCCGCCUGGGGAGUACGGCCGCAAGGCUAAAACUCAAAGGAAUUGACGGGGCCCCGCACAAGCGGCGGAGCAUGCGGAUUAAUUCGAUGCAACGCGUAGAACCUUACCUGGGUUUGACAUGGAUCGGGAGUGCUCAGAGAUGGGUGUGCCUCUUUUGGGGUCGGUUCACAGGUGGUGCAUGCCUGUCGUCAGCUCGUGUCGUGAGAUGUUGGGUUAAGUCCCACAACGAGCGCAACCCUUGUUCACUGUUGCCAGCACGUUAUGGUGGGGACUCAGUGGAGACCGCCGGGGUCAACUCGGAGGAAGGUGGGGAUGACGUCAAGUCCUCAUGCCCCUUAUGUCCAGGGCUUCACGCAUGCUACAAUGGCUGGUACAGAGAGUGGCGAGCCUGUGAGGGUGAGCGAAUCUCGGAAAGCCGGUCUCAGUUCGGAUUGGGGUCUGCAACUCGACCUCAUGAAGUCGGAGUCGCUAGUAAUCGCAGAUCAGCAACGCUGCGGUGAAUACGUUCCCGGGGCUUGUACACACCGCCCGUCAAGUCAUGAAAGUUGGUAACACCCGAAGCCGGAGGCCUAACCGUUGUGGGGGAGCCGUCGAAGGUGGGACUGGU